AUCCAACAUGCAAUACAACAACAACAAACCAAAUGUAAAUACUUUCAGAAGUGUACAACACAUACAAAAUGUCCAACAAAAGUAAAAACUACAACAAUAGUUUCAAAAGUGUACAAACUACAACAAAAUAUCUAAAUUCAAAGUACAACACAUACAAAAGUCCAAAAACUAAAAAUCACCUUCAUCGAAUUCAUCCUCGUCUUCCAUAUCCUCAUCGGUGCUGAUAUCAGCCAGGGAGCGUAGACCUUUUGCAGCCCGAACUGCAUCACCACGAAACGGAAAAUAAUUCCUAUAGUCUGAAUGAAAGAGCUGAACUACUCCUGCAGCAUCCUGAUUUGGGAUAAUGUCUCCUCCUCAUUCUUUUGCGCUCUUUCUCUCUGUUCAACAAUCUCUUCAGUGAGUCCCUACACUUAACCAUUUUCAAGCGACUUCAUCACCGAACAAACCACUUUCAAAACCAAAAAAAUCCCCUUUAAAGUACCUAUACUUAACCAUUUUCAAGUAACUAACCACCUAAACGACAUUCAAAACAAAAAAAUCUCCUUUAAAGUCCCUAUGCUUAACCAUUUUCUCGUAACUAAGUCACCAACCAAACGACAUUCAAACCAAAAAAUAUCCUUUAAAGUCCCUACACUUAACCAUUUUCAAGUAACUAAGUCACCAACCAAACGGCGUUCAAACGAAAAAAAUACCCUUUAAAGUCCCUACGCGUAACCAUUUUCAAGCAACUACAUCACCGAACAAACCACUUUCAAAACAAAAAAUAUCCCCUUUGAAGUCCCUACACUUAACCAUUUUCAUGCGACUUCAUCACCGAACAAACCACUUUCAAAACAAAAAAUAUCCCCUUUGAAGUCCCUACACUUAACCAUUUUCAAGUAACUAACCAACCAAACGACAUUCAAACCAAAAAAAUCCCCUUUAAAGUCCCUACACUUAACCAUUUUCAAGCAACUACAUCACCGAACAAACCACUUUCAAAACAAAAAAUAUCCCCUUUAAAGUACCUAUAUUUAACCAUUUUCAAGUAACUAACCAACCAAACGACAUUCAAACCAAAAAAAUCUCCUUUAAAGUCUCUAUGCUUAACCAUUUUCUCGUAACUUAGUCACCAACCAAACAAUAUUCAAACCAAAAAAUACCCUUUAAAGUCCCUACACUUAACCAUUUUCAAGUAACUAAGUCACCAACCAAACGAUAUUCAAACCAAAAAAUACCCGUUAAAGUCCCUACGCGUAAUCAUUUUCAAGCGACUAAGUCACCAAACAAACCACUUUCAAAAAAAAAAAUCCCCUUUAAAGUACCUAUACUUAACCAUUUUCAAGUGACUAAGUCACCAACCAAAUGACAUUCAAACCAAAAAAAUCCCCUUUAAAGUCCUACACUUAACCAUAUUCAAGCGACUAACUCACCAAACAAACCACUUUCAAAACAAAAAAAUCCCCUUUAAAGUACCUAUACUUAACCAUAUUCAAGCAACUAAGUCACCAACCAAACGACAUUCAAACUAAAAACAUCUCCUUUAAAGUCCCUACGCUUAACCAUUUUCUCGUAACUAAGUCACCAACUAAACGGCAUUCAAACAAAAAAAUACCCUUUAAAGUCCUUACGCGUAACCAUUUUCAAGCGACUAAGUCACCAAACAAACUACUUUCAAAACAAAAAAUCCCCUUUAAAGUUCCUACACUUAACCAUUUUCAAGCGACUAAGUCACCAAACAAACCACUUUCAAAACAAAAAAUCCCCUUUAAAGUACUUAACCAUUUUCAAGUGACUAAUUAAGUCACCAACCAAACAACAUUCAAACCAAAAAAAUCCCCUUUAAAGUCUCUACACUUAACCAUUUUCAAGCGACUAAGUCACCGAACAAAGCAAAAAUCCCCUUUAAAGUACCUAUACUUAACCAUUUUCAAGUAACUAAGUCACCAACCAAACGACAUUCAAACCAAAAAAUAUACUUUAAAAUCCCCACACUUAACCAUUUUCAAGUGACUAAGUCACCAACCAAACCACAUUCAAAAUAAAAAAAUCUUCUAAAAUCCCUACGCUUAACCAUUUUCUCGUAACUAAGCCACCAACCAUGGAUAGACACACCCAAUGUUGCAAUAAUUCCUCAAACAAAAGAUAAACAACAAAUCAGUUUCUUAUCAAAUAUUCACCUAAAUAACUAAAUUUUCUUUUCUUCUUUUUCUUGAGUUCACUAUAAUUAGUUGAACAUUCACAAAAAUGUCUAGAGUGCAUUGUAAGCUAGAUAUUCUUGUACAAUCCAACUAAGGGACAUGCUCCUAGACACUUCUAUUUACCUUUAUGCUAAAUCUACCCAAAUCUUUCAAGUAAAAGAAUGCAAUUGCUAAGAAGAAUUGUCAAAUGAUAAAAUGAAGUACAAGCCAUUUGCCUUCUUCUCCACAUGUCCACAAGUUCAACAACUCAUUAGUGCAGAGAGGCUUCACAAGAUAGUCAGUUGCUCUAAAUUUGAGGCACUUGACGACAAUAGAGACUUCAUCUUGUGAUGGCAUCACAAGGAAAGAAAAAAAAUAUUUAUUGCUUUACACUGCACGGAUGAACAUGAAUCAAAAGAAAUUUUGACGAAGUCUCCAAUUAAACUUUAUCAAUUUUAGAUUACGAAACUUGUUAAAUAAAUAUAAAAUAUUUUGAGACUUUAGAGCAUGGAAUUAAACCUGAGAUGGGUUCAAAGCCCAUCAUUUUUCGACGAAACUUGACCAGAGAAGCGGCGAGGCGGCAACGUCGAUCGGGGAGAGAGGCAGUGAUGGUUAUUGGUUUCGUUGGCUGGUGGUGAAAGAGGUUGUUGACUCGGAGGGAGGCGCUGCUUCGCUCUUGGUCAGACGGUGUAAGAGGAUGGACGAGGGGAUCCUUCAGCCAUGGUGGCUG
Molecule: long non-coding RNA, 2889 nt
Filed under: Capsicum annuum
Lineage: Eukaryota; Viridiplantae; Streptophyta; Magnoliopsida; Solanales; Solanaceae
Description: long non-coding RNA (CANN_LNC005981)
Source: RNAcentral